RNAcentral lists this long non-coding RNA (267 nucleotides) under Setaria viridis. RNAcentral describes it as "long non-coding RNA (SVIR_LNC007472)". The record is from RNAcentral. Lineage: Eukaryota; Viridiplantae; Streptophyta; Magnoliopsida; Poales; Poaceae.
CAUGGCAUUCAGUGAUGCUACCAUAGAACUUCAUCAUAUGAGUGUGCAAUUUUCCAGAGAGUCCGUAACCAGAGGGGGGAGGGAGGGAGCAUACAGUAGAAUUUGGGCAAUCUUAACUCUCCCGCAAGUUAUUUUCUGUAAUAAGUUUGGCAGCUGCUGCUAAGCUGCAUGCCCUCAUCAUUGUUCAACAAAAGUGGUGUCGCCAUCGAGAUCGAGGCGCACCAGCUUGCAUACGCAUCUUUUUCCACCUGAUGAUGCUUCUCUCCA